AGUGAACGCUGGCGGUAGGCCUAACACAUGCAAGUCGAACGGCAGCACAGUAAGAGUUUGCUCUUACGGGUGGCGAGUGGCGGACGGGUGAGGCAUACAUCGGAAUCUACUUUUUCGUGGGGGAUAACGUAGGGAAACUUACGCUAAUACCGCAUACGUCCUACGGGUGAAAGCAGGGGAUCUUCGGACCUUGCGCGUUUGAAUGAGACGAUGUCGGAUUAGCUAGUUGGCGGGGUAAAGGCCCACCAAGGCGACGAUCCGUAGCCGGCCUGAGAGGAUGAUCAGCCACACUGGAACUGAGACACGGUCCAGACUCCUACGGGAGGCAGCAGUGGGGAAUAUUGGACAAUGGGCGCAAGCCUGAUCCAGCCACACCGCGUGGGUGAAGAAGGCCUUCGGGUUGUAAAGCCCUGUUGUUGGGAAAGAAAAGCAGCAGGUUAAUACCCCGCUGUUCUGACGGUACCCAAAGAAUAAGCACCGGCUAACUUCGUG
RNAcentral lists this ribosomal RNA (492 nucleotides) under uncultured bacterium. RNAcentral's name for it is "partial 16S ribosomal RNA". It matches the Rfam family "Bacterial small subunit ribosomal RNA", at positions 29 to 507 of the family's 1533-position model. The record is from RNAcentral.